AUUGAACGCUGGCGGCAGGCCUAACACAUGCAAGUCGAGCGAGCGGCGGACGGGUGAGUAAUGUAUGGGGACUGCCCGAUCGAGGCGGAUAACUACUGGAAACGGUAGCUAAUACCGCAUACUAUCGGAUAACCCAUAUGGGAUAAGCUAGUAGGUGAGGUAAUGGCUCAACUAGGCGACGAUCCCUAGCUGGUCUGAGAGGAUGAUCAGCCACACUGUGACUGCGACACGGCCCAGACGCCUACGGAGGCAGCAGUGGGGAAUAUUGCACAAUGGGAGCAAGCCUGAUGCAGCCAGGCCGCGUGUAUGAAGAAGGCACUAGGGUUGUAAAGUACUUUCAGUCGGGAGGCGUUACCGACAGAAGAAGCACCGGCUAACUCCGUGCCAGCAGCCGCGGUAAUUC
RNAcentral lists this ribosomal RNA (403 nucleotides) under uncultured bacterium. Its description in RNAcentral is "partial 16S ribosomal RNA". It matches the Rfam family "Bacterial small subunit ribosomal RNA", at positions 30 to 526 of the family's 1533-position model. The record is from RNAcentral.